Molecule: long non-coding RNA, 4235 nt
Filed under: Marmota monax (woodchuck)
Lineage: Eukaryota; Metazoa; Chordata; Mammalia; Rodentia; Sciuridae
Source: RNAcentral
AAAAUACUUGGCUCUGGGAGUCCUAAGGCCCUGCCAAUCGGCCUGGAACACUCCCCUACUGCCAGUAAAGAAACCUGGAGGAGACUAUCGUCCUGUGCAGGACUUAAGGGAAGUCAACAACAGAGUACAGGACAUUCACCCAACAGUACCUAAUCCAUAUAAUCUGCUUAGUACUCUAAAUCCUGAACGAAAAUGGUAUACUGUCUUGGACUUAAAAGAUGCCUUCUUUUGUUUGCCUUUACAUAAAGAUAGCCAGCUACUGUUUGCUUUUGAGUGGGUGGAUCCAGAAACAGGAACGUCUGGCCAACUAACCUGGAGUAGACUCCCACAAGGGUUCAAAAACUCCCCCACUCUCUUUGAUGAAGCCCUCCACAGGGACCUCAAUAACUUCAGGACUACACACCCAGGAGUCACCCUGCAUCAAUAUGUGGAUGACCUGCUGCUGGCAGCUGACACCAAGGAAAACUGUGAGUCUGGAACACGAGCACUAUUAUCCGAGCUUGCUCGGUUUGGAUAUAGAGCUUCUGCCAAAAAGGCUAAAAUCUGCCAGCAAGAAGUUAUUUUCCUGGGCUAUUCCCUUAGAGAUGGCAAAAGAUGGCUCACAGGGCCCAGAAAACAGACUGUUGUGCAGAUACCGCCCCCAUCUAAUAGAAGGCAACUUAGAGAGUUUCUCGGGACUGCUGGCUUUUGUAGAUUAUGGAUUCCUGGGUUUGCAUCCCUAGCUGCUCCUUUGUACCCACUGUUGAAGGCAGACACCCAAUUCCAAUGGACCCCCAAACAUCAGCAAGCUUUUGAUGACAUUAAAAAGGUGCUGCUAUCUGCUCCAGCUCUAGCACUUCCGGAUGUAGAAAAGCCCUUUACUCUUUACAUUGAGGAAAAGAAAGGAAUAGCCCGAGGAGUGCUCACUCAGACUUUAGGGCCCUGGAAGAGACCUGUAGCCUACCUGUCGAAAAGGCUAGAUCCAGUGGCUAGCGGGUGGCCCCAUUGCCUAAAAGCUAUAGCAGCAGCAGCCCUUCUAAUAAAAGAUGCUGAUAAAUUAAUGCUGGGACAGAAGCUAACCAUUAUAGCCCCUCAUGCCCUGCAGAACAUCAUUCAUCAGCCUCCAGACAGAUGGCUAUCAAACUCUAGAAUAACUCACUAUCAGAGCCUGUUGCUGGACAAAGACAGAAAAACACUGGGACCCCCAGCCCCACUUAACCCAGCCACACUCCUACCUGAAGAAUCAUCAGAGCCUGUCAUCCAUGACUGUCAACAUAUACUGGCAGAAGAGACCAGUAUACGACAGGAUCUAAAAGAUCAGCCACUGCCCCAUCCUGAAGUCGCGUGGUUUACCGACGGCAGCAGCUUCCUCCAGGACGGUAAGCGGCGAGCUGGGGCAGCAGUAGUUAGCAGGACAAAAGUCAUCUGGUCCUCUAGUCUCCCGGAAGGGACAUCUGCACAAAAGGCAGAGCUGAUGGCUCUUACGAAGGCAUUAGAACUAGCAGCAGGCAAAAAGGCCACCAUAUAUACUGAUAGCCGAUAUGCGUUUGCUACCGCCCAUAUACAUGGGGCUAUUUAUCAGCAAAGGGGGCUACUAACCUUGGCCAGAAAAGAAAUAAAAAACAAAGAUGAGAUUCUCCGCCUUCUCUCAGCAGUGCAAAACCCCAAAGAACUAGCUAUAGUGCACUGCCAAGGGCACCAAAAGGGAAAUGAUCCCGUGGCAGUCGGAAACAGAAGGGCAGAUGAGGAAGCUAAGUUGGCAGCUCUGACAGGAGUAACCAUGUUAACACUUUCCUCACCGGGGGAACAACAGUCAGGAGAUUCAACUGUGUCCGAGUACCCAGACAAUUUAACACCUGAGGACACUGAAACUGAACUCCUUGACUCCACCGGGCCUAGCCUGCAAUUUCAAAAAGCCCUACACUAUGGUAAAUAUGUGCAUCAACUCACCGUGGUUCAAAAAAACUACAGGCAUUCCUGAAGGAUCAAGAGCAGAAAUUUCCGCUGACCAGCACACAACGAAAAGAAAUAGCCGAACGGGUAAUAAAGGCCUGCCGGGUCUGUCAAUUGGUUAAUGCUUACCCCUCCAAGCUUCCUACAGGGAAACACCUACGAGGAACCAGACCAGGACAAUUAUGGGAAAUAGACUUUACUGAAAUUAAACCAGCAAGGUAUGGACUUAAGUAUCUUCUAGUUUUUGUAGAUACUUUUUCAGGGUGGGUUGAAGCCUUCCCCACGAAAAAAGAAACAGCUCAAAUGGUAAUCAAAAAGAUCCUGGAGGACAUCUUCCCGAGAUUCGGCCUGCCUAAGGUAAUAGGGUCCGAUAAUGGACCGGCGUUCAUGGCCCAGGUAAGUCAGGGAUUGGCCAGGACCCUGGGGAUUAAUUGGAAAUUACAUUGUGCUUAUAGACCCCAGAGCUCAGGACAGGUAGAAAGGAUGAAUAGAACUAUUAAAGAGACCUUAACAAAAUUAAGCUUGGAGACCGGUAUAAAAGAUUGGACUAUGCUCCUACCUUAUGCACUGUUUCGUGCAAGAAAUACCCCCUCCGCCUCUUUGUGUAACCUCACCCCCUAUGAAAUUCUCUAUGGUGCCCCUCCUCCAAUAAGAGACCUAACCCCAACCCUGAGACUUAACGAUUCCUUUCACACCCCGUUGCUUGACAGACUUAAGGCUCUUGAACAAACCCAGCGAUUCCUGUGGAAGCAGCUGGCUACUGCCUAUCAGCCCGGAGACGAAGGAACCCCACAUCAAUAUCAAGUGGGAGACUUCGUCUACGUGAGACGACAUCAGGUGUCAUCCCUAGAACCCCCCUGGAAAGGACCAUACCAGGUGCUACUCAUAACACCUAUGGCGGUGAAAGUGGAUGGAGUUGCUUCUUGGAUCCAUGCCUCCCAUCUCAAGCCUGCACCCUCCCCCGACUCCAGCUGGAAACUGGAAAAGGCUGGUAACCCUUUCAAAUUGCGUAUUCACCGUAUGGAUAGGGCUAUGGAUUCUCCCAUGUCCACCAGCAGUCCUAAUCCCCAUCAGCCUGUUCAGCAACAGUGGCAAGUUAUAAAUCCCACUGGACAAGUAGUUUGGUCCAUUUCAUAUACAGCCCCCUUAUGGACUUGGUGGCCAUCUCUUCAUCUGGACAUUUGUCAACUGGCCAUAGGCCUCUCUGACUGGGACCUCCCUGACAUAGAGGACCCCAAACUAGGGCAGCAUUCCCCAAGCGGACAUACGUACUAUGGAUGUCAUCGCCCUCAUCAUAGGUGUAGACUAGCCAGUCUUGAUUAUUAUGUGUGCCCAGCUGAUUUCCAAAGUCACAAACAGGCCCAAACCUGUGGAGGGCCCAAUGACUUUUAUUGCAAAUCUCGGGAUUGUGAACAAACGGGAGCUGCAUGGUGGAAACCAAACUCCCCAGACAGCAUGAUUCAAGUAGGGUGAAACGACACCUGGAUAAACCCUAGGAACUGUUUAGUUAGCCAAGUGUCAAGGACUUUCUGUGGAAAAAGUAGUCUAUGUAACCCCCUCAAUAUAACUUUCACUUCCAAAGCAAGGGGCUACCUCAGAAUGACAUGGCUUACGGGAAAUACCUGGGGAAUGUGAUUCUAUGUUUAUGGCCCCACUUAUGACUUUGGUCUCUGGUUAACCAUCCGACUUAAGCAGGAAGAAAAUCCCACCACAAUAGGGCCCAAUCCCCUCAAGCCAGGAAUUAAGCCUCCUAAACCUCCCAUGCCUAGAACUACCAGAUCUCCUCUGCCAUCUCAUUCCUCCCGGUUUCCGUCUUUGCCUACUUCCCCAGUCAGGAGUAUAGCUGACUCCUCCCCCUGGGAAUUGAUUAAAGGAACCUUCAUGGUACUGAACUCCACACAGCCAGAUCUCACCCAAUCCUGCUGGCUAUGCCUCUCUGCCGCGCCCCCUUAUUAUGAAGGGAUAGCAGUUAAUGGGACUUAUGCUGUGAAGACGCAGAAUUCCACCUGUAGUUGGGGUGAAAAUCCUAAGUUAACUCUCCCAGAAGUAACCGGGGCAGGUUUAUGUCUAGGGUCCCCACCCAAAAGUAAACAACAUAUAUGUUCCCAGAUAGGAGAAAUCAAUGCUACGCAGGGCUUUCUAGUCCCUGAGAAAGGAACUUGGUGGGCAUGUGAUUCAGGAUUAAGUCCUUGCAUUUCAGCCCAGGUGUUUGACAGCUCUGUAAACUAUUGUGUAAUGGUGCAAAUACUCCCCAGGAUACUUUAUCAUGAUGCAGAAUCCUUUGAAGGUCUAGUAGGGGGACA